CGUAUCACCCAAGACAACUUUACGGAGUUGACGAUUGACGGAGCGAAGCGACGUCAAAGCGUUCAUUAAAGUCGAGUUGGCUUAGGGAUACGUUCGUUGGGUAGGGGAGCGUUCUGUAAGCCUGUGAAGGUGGCCUGUGAGGGUUGCUGGAGGUAUCAGAAGUGCGAAUGCUGACAUAAGUAACGAUAAAGCGGGUGAAAAGCCCGCUCGCCGGAAGACCAAGGGUUCCUGUCCAACGUUAAUCGGGGCAGGGUGAGUCGACCCCUAAGGCGAGGCCGAAAGGCGUAGUCGAUGGGAAACGGGUUAAUAUUCCCGUACUUGGUGUUACUGCGAAGGGGGGACGGAGAAGGCUAUGUUGGCCGGGCGACGGUUGUCCCGGUUUAAGCGUGUAGGUGUGUGUUCCAGGUAAAUCCGGUUCACUUUAACACUGAGGCGUGACGACGAGGCACUACGGUGCUGAAGCAACAAAUGCCCUGCUUCCAGGAAAAGCCUCUAAGCAUCAGGUAACAUCAAAUCGUACCCCAAACCGACACAGGUGGUCAGGUAGAGAAUACCAAGGCGCUUGAGAGAACUCGGGUGAAGGAACUAGGCAAAAUGGUGCCGUAACU
RNAcentral lists this ribosomal RNA (608 nucleotides) under Salmonella enterica subsp. enterica serovar Cerro. RNAcentral describes it as "partial 23S ribosomal RNA". It matches the Rfam family "Bacterial large subunit ribosomal RNA", at positions 1154 to 1735 of the family's 2925-position model. The record is from RNAcentral. Lineage: Bacteria; Pseudomonadati; Pseudomonadota; Gammaproteobacteria; Enterobacterales; Enterobacteriaceae.